AUUAAAAAAAAAUAAUAAAUUCCUCUGUUAUUACAGGGGGCUACAGGAAAGGACUUCCAAUUGCCUUGAGUAUUUCCCUUGAGAAUAAAACAUAAAAGUACAGCUGAAAGUCAACGAGAAAUGCUCUUGCCUCACAAAUUGCCUCAGAACAAGGCUUUCACAUAUCAAGGUCCCUGAUAGUACCUUGGCAUUCAUCCUUGGAAGGAUGACUUGGAACAUGGACAAGGAUUUUACCCAGUUUUCUGCAUAUGUAUGUGAUGAAAAUGAUACCACAUUCCAUGAAAAUCUUGACAAAGAUGGGAACACUUGA
RNAcentral lists this long non-coding RNA (310 nucleotides) under Parus major (Great Tit). RNAcentral describes it as "lncRNA (ENSPMJG00000007477.1)". The record is from RNAcentral. Lineage: Eukaryota; Metazoa; Chordata; Aves; Passeriformes; Paridae.